CGCUGUGGCGGCGCGGAGCCCAACCGGCAGCGCCGUAGCGCACAGCGCAGCGCCCGGCCCGGCCCAGGUAACGGCGCGGGGUUCGGGGCGGGGGGUCGGAACGGGGCCGGCGGGGGUCCUGGGGGAGAGCGGGGCACAACGGGGGGCACGGAGCCCCGCUGGGUCGGGAGGGAGGGAAUGGGGCGCCGUGGGGUUGGCUGUGAGUGAAUGGGGGCGGAUGUGGGGCGGGCAGGGCCUGCUGUGGGGCCUAUGGGGCCUGUAGGGUCUGCUGUGGGGUUUGUAGGGUCUGCUAUGGGGCCUAUAGGGCCUGCUGUGGGGCCUGUAGGGUCUGUAGGGCCUGCUGUGGGGCUUAUAGGGUUUGCUGUGGGGCCUGUAGGGUCUGCUGUGGGGUUUGUAGGGCCUGCUGUGGGGCCUAUAGGGCCUAUAGGGUUUGCUGUGGGGCCUGUGGGGCCUGCUGUGGGGUCUGUGGGGCCUGCUGUGGGGCUUCUAGGGUCUGCUAUGGGGCCUGUAGGGUCUGCUGUAGGGCUUGUAGGGUCUGCUGUAGGGCUUGUAGGGUCUGCUGUGGGGCCUGUAGGGUCUGAUUGGGGUGUGUAUGGCCGGCUAUGGGGCGCAUAGGACAUGCUAUAGGGCACAUAGGGCAUGCUGUGUGGUGCAGAGGUUCUGUUUGGGGUAUAUAGGGACUGCUAUGGGGCACACAGGGCCUGCUGUGGGGUUUAUAGGACCUGCUGUGGGGUGUAUAGGGUCUGUUUGGGGUGUACAGGACCUGCUUUGGGGCACACAGGAACUGCUGUGGGGUGUGUAGGGUCUGUUUGGGGUGUAUAGGACCUGUUUGGGGCCUCAGGCUGCAGAGGUCGCGCUGUGGGGUUUUGGGGCUGGGGGGGGACGCGGUUCCUUUUGGGGGUCUGCGUGUUUGGGGAGGGGGGAACUCUGUGGUGCCAGCCCCACAAGUGCCAGCCCCACAAGUACCAGCCCCAUAGUGCCCCAUAGUGCCCCAUAGCGCCAGCCCUACAGUACCAGCCCCACAAGUACCAGCCCCAUAGUGCCAGCCCUACAGUAUCAGCCCCAUAGGGCCAGCCCCAUAGCGCCAGCCCUACAA
This 1096-nucleotide long non-coding RNA is filed under the name Phasianus colchicus (ring-necked pheasant). RNAcentral describes it as "lncRNA (ENSPCLG00000014206.1)". Lineage: Eukaryota; Metazoa; Chordata; Aves; Galliformes; Phasianidae. The record is from RNAcentral.